UGGCAUAUGGAGGUUCCAGGCUAGGGGUUGAAUUGGAGCUACAGCUGCCAGCCUACACCAUAGCCACAGCAAUGCCAGAUCAGAGCUGUGUCUUAGACCUACACCACAGCUCACGGCAAAGCUGGAUCCUGAACCCACUGAGCGAGGCCAAGGAUCAGACCCACAACCUCACGGUUCCUAGUCAGAUUCGUUUCCACUGUGCCACAAUGGGAACUCCGUGUUCUUUUUUAAGAUCCCACAUGUAAGUGAUAGCAUAUGAUGUUGGUGUCUCACUGUCUGACUGACUUCACUUAGCAUGAUAAUUUCUAGGUCCAUCCAUGUUGCUGCACUUCCCUUUUAAUGGCUGAGUACUAUUCCACUGUGUGUAUGUACCACAUUGUCUUUAUCUACUCCUCUGUUGUGGACAUUUAGGGACUGAUCCCUGGCCACAGCUGUGACAACACCAGGUCCUUAACCCACUGAGCCACAAGGGAACUCCCCAAAAUAGCUAUUUUUAGAUGUAGACCCAUGUGUUGUAUUUUCCUUCAAUUGGUCUUUAUUACAAGAUCCAGUGUCUUGUAAGGGCAAGGCCCCGCCAGCCUAGACCAGGCCCACAUCCUGAGCUGCAGUCUGCAGUAAAGGCACAGCAACACAUGCGAAGGCCUCUACAACCCAACUUUAAAGCCUCGAUUGAUCUAUGAACACAGACAUCCAUCAGUACCUUUACUGAGAAGCUUCCUUUCUGACUCUUCCUUGGGAGAGUGUGGACUUUGAGUCCGAGGCUCUGCUUUGGCACCAAGCAGAGUCUGUCGGAUGCUGAGACUCUGGCGAGGGGUCUUUGGCAACUGCUCUGCUUUGCUGCUGAAAAAAAGGCACAUUUUUGCACCAAGUACAUAUUUCCCAUUCCCACCACCUUGCAGGCCUCGGGGCAGGGGACUCUUACCUCAUCAGACUGUUAUACUCUUUUAUUCUUCGACUGAUCAGAUCCCUGUUCGUAACUCCGGUGUCCUACAGAAGAAGCACAAAGUAAAAUUAGAAAGUCAAUUCUAAACCCAAAUAGGGAUUCUACUUUGGGGGAGGGGGCACUCUAUAUUGUACGACUACUUGUUUAAUAUUAUGGAGCUGUUUUAAAACCUCUGUUCAAACCCUGGGCCAACAACACCACAGGAACAAAUGUUCCAAGUGCCCCCCUGCUUCCAAAAGUUUUCUGUUUCUUUUCUGUAACCCUGCAAUACCUAGACUAGUACCAGCCAGUAGCCCGUGUUCCAACUUACUGAACUGAUCUGUCAUUUCAAAUAAGUGACUGGGAAGCAGAAAGCCAGUUUUUUUUUUGUCACUAAUACCAGAAAGAAUGAUCAGUGUUUCAAAAUAAUACAGGUGGAUAAAAAAAUACUGCCAAACUUUUUGAUUAAUUUGCAGAGCAGUGAGAUUGAGGAUCAAUUAGUAUCAAAGUGGCAGAUUAUCAGAAAAGAAAAGCUCAAAACUGGUUUUUUUUUUUAACCUCAACAGGUUAACUUUGAUAACAUGCUAAAUGGAAAACGCAGAGCUGACAUUAAAGGGAUGGCUUCUUAUCCCUAUUGAUUCCAAUUACACAUUGACAUCUGCCCUCAAUUUUUUUUCUCCUUGUCUCACUUUGAGCAUAAUGAACACUAUAAUUUAUAAAGAAUAGAGGCUUUGGAGUUGAACAAUCUCAAAUUCAAAUCAAUUCUUCUCCUUUACCCACUGAAAGAGUAUAUCGUUAAGAUCUAGAAUAAUCGCCUGGGUUUAAAUCCCAGCCCUGGCACUUCGGAGCUAUGUGACCUUGGGGAAAUUACUUAACCUCUCUGUUCCAAUUUCUGAUUGGAAAUUUGGUGGUGAUGAUUAAAGACACAUUCAUACAGUUGCUGAUAUUAACUGAUGUAAAAUGCUCACGAGAGUGCCUGCCCUAUGGUAUAUGCUCAGUGCAUUAUUCUUUAUCUAUAAAACUGGGUGAAAAUCCUUGUGUCUUGAAAUUAGAUAAUAACAAUGAUGCUACAUGGCUGACAUUAAAUCAGUGUUUAUGAUCUGCCAGGCACUAGGCUGCAUUCUUUGCAAGCAUUACCUCAUUCGGUCCUUAAACAGCCCUGUGUUUCAAAGAUGAAGUCAUCUACUGCCUAAGAGGACGCUUGGCACAUGGCGGGUGAUUAUUAAACAGGAACCUCUUUGAACUGUGACUUGAAGCUGAAAUCUACACCCAAGUUCUUAUUCUAUUUACUUUGCUUAAAUCCAGGUCUGAUGUCUCUUUAUAGCGGUGGUUGCAGGACAAAGGUUGUAUUGAUAUGGGCCUGGUAUUCAUUUUUAAUGACAAGGCAGAGUAUAAAUUAGUGGAGGAAAAAAAAGCACAGGCGUUUUUCC
This 2352-nucleotide long non-coding RNA is filed under the name Sus scrofa (pig). RNAcentral describes it as "lncRNA (ENSSSCG00065029420.1)". The record is from RNAcentral. Lineage: Eukaryota; Metazoa; Chordata; Mammalia; Artiodactyla; Suidae.